UAUAUGAUGGAAAUCCAAGGGGUGCCCUGGCAUCUUGAAGUGUACAAGCUGCGAAAAUAUAUCUAAUGGCCCUGCAUCAGUUCUGUAUAACAGAGUUGCUCUUAGGGCCCUCAACAGGACAUACUCUAAUUACUACAAAAAGAAAACAAACUAUACCUACUGAUAAACAGACAAUUUAUUUGAUAUGUGUCUACAAUGAGGCAAGCUGUGUUAAAAAUCUUGGGAACUCAAAAUAUUCCCUCGUGAAACCAACUCAUUUUCAAACUGAUGUGCAAUGUGGGCACUGGAAUCCUUUGGCAGUCCUUGUUUAUGAUGACAACCCUGGUGACCUGAUAUGAGCUUGUAUAUAUAAAAUGAAGAAGAAAAUUAAAUGAUUCUCCUUGAGAAUUUACAGAUUACUAGAAGACAUUUAUUCAGUGUGAGAAACAUGGACCCUCAGCAAAGGUACCAACCGUCUCUGCUGUUUAACCAGCUGUUCUGGAACAGACCAUGGCCUUUGCCUGGAGUGAGGAUGACUGAGAAGGAUGAUUGGGACUCAAUUCUAGAUGGCUUUUACUUUGAUUUUCUUUCCAAGAAACAAAUAAACAAAGCAGCUGAUGCAAUGAAAUAAGGAAAUAGGUAUGUGGAUACAAGUACACACUUUGACUAUUACACAUCACCUAGGUGCUUCCAAGUUUGGCGAUCUUGGCAAUCCAUUGGAAAUGAAACGCAGCUGAGUCAGAGUGUGGGCCUAUGGGCUUAUGGCCUUUUAUGUCCCCAGUAGUCAUGUUCGCACGCAGAAGCAACUUACACUAUCUUUAAAGUUACUAAUUCCAUUAUUUAGAAACCUGCAUCGCCAUGCCAUCUCUGCAGGGCCUAGGAGGUUCACUUGUAUGCAUACUGAGGCAUAGCUGGAGCUGUCAUACCAAUAGUAAUCCAAUAUCCUGUUUCCCUCUUUAUCAUCACAUGG
Long non-coding RNA from Hipposideros armiger (great roundleaf bat), 949 nucleotides. RefSeq lists it as uncharacterized. The record is from RefSeq and is a predicted model, not a curated record. The transcript is spliced from 3 exons. Lineage: Eukaryota; Metazoa; Chordata; Mammalia; Chiroptera; Hipposideridae.